This 251-nucleotide ribosomal RNA is filed under the name Cornu aspersum (brown garden snail). Its description in RNAcentral is "Helix aspersa (brown garden snail) partial 28S ribosomal RNA". It matches the Rfam family "Eukaryotic large subunit ribosomal RNA", at positions 1194 to 1430 of the family's 3401-position model. Lineage: Eukaryota; Metazoa; Mollusca; Gastropoda; Stylommatophora; Helicidae. The record is from RNAcentral.
CUUACGCUCAUCAGGCACCAUAAAAGGUGUUGGUUGAUAUAGACAGCAGGACGGUGGCCAUGGAAGUCGGAACCCGCUAAGGAGUGUGUAACAACUCACCUGCCGAAUCAACCAGCCCUGAAAAUGGAUGGCACUUGUGCGUAGGACCUAAACCGUGCCGUCUCGGCAAUCGGUCACUCGUAAGGACAAGGCCGAGACGAGUAGGAGGGCCGUCGGGGUGAGCGUGGAAGCCUGGGGAGUGAUCCUGGUGA